Bubalus bubalis (water buffalo) is the source of this 479-nucleotide long non-coding RNA. RefSeq lists it as uncharacterized. The record is from RefSeq and is a predicted model, not a curated record. The transcript is spliced from 2 exons. Lineage: Eukaryota; Metazoa; Chordata; Mammalia; Artiodactyla; Bovidae.
GCAGCCUCGAGGUGAGCCUGGCGGACACUGGCCACUUUCCAAGGACCUCAUUCCCACCUACACCGGGGUCCUUGAAGCGUGACCUCAGAUCACAGAGCAAUCUGGCUGGGCUUUACUCUUUGGUUCAGUGCCUGCUGUGUGGCUGUGUUUCAGGGGUGCUCUGGGUAUCACUCUGCUCCUGACCUCAGAAAAACUCUCACGAGACAACGUGACACCCUCAUAUCCUGGCAUCCUGGAGCUUGACUUUGAGCAGCAAGUCUUGAAUCCAUCACUGGCCUCUCGAAGUCACAAUUUCUCAGGAGCCGAGCGGGAUACUGGCCAGAUGUCGCAAUUCUGUCCCAUGACUGAUUUUCUCCUGGAGGAAGAGCCAUCACGUUUCAGCUCCAUCAUGAAACCGAUUGUCACAAAGCUGUGCCUUCUAAAUUCUGCCUUGGGUGCCCUCAGUAAUGCUCCUUUCUGGGGCUCUUUUCAGAGCCACC